GCGCCCGUAGCUCAGUUGGACAGAGCACAGGCCUCCGGAGCCUGGUGUCGCAGGUUCGAAUCCUGCCGGGCGCACCA
This 77-nucleotide transfer RNA is filed under the name Candidatus Latescibacterota bacterium. Its description in RNAcentral is "tRNA-Arg". It matches the Rfam family "tRNA". From Rfam's summary of the family: Transfer RNA (tRNA) molecules are approximately 80 nucleotides in length. Their secondary structure includes four short double-helical elements and three loops (D, anti-codon, and T loops). Lineage: Bacteria; Pseudomonadati; Candidatus Latescibacterota. The record is from RNAcentral. RNAcentral also lists the same sequence under 1 other name.